AAUGUUUUAGAUAGUAUUUUAAACUGUAAAAAAAAAGUGUUUUGAAUAGUGUAAACAAACACAUUUUGUGAUCACAUAAAACCAUCCAAUUAAAUGAAUAUUGCUACUCAAAAUAUUUUCUUUUAUAAGCAUCUACUUAAUUUGUUUUAAAAAAUUUCGCAAAAAGCGAAAAAUGAUAACGCAACGAGAAAAGCCACUGCCCACUGGUGAGUACCACCGUAGCAGCUGGAAAGCAAUGAUGAAAGUUGCAUUGCACCUGCGAUGCGAGUCCGCUCCCUAUGAGGCACGUGCGGAUUCUGUUUAGCCGCACGUGCCUUGAGCAUUCAGUAAUUACAGCUAACCCGCCAAAGUCACUUACAGUAAGUAGAACCAUCGCUCAAGCUAACUCACAGUAAAAUCCAAACAAAAAUGGUGGAAAAAGAAGCCAUUGAAGAAGCUCAGAGCAAGCUCCAAUCAGAGUUCCUUCAAAUCCUGCGUAGUAGGCGACCCGCUCAAGUUACACUAACAGUCCAACUCGCGAAGCCAGUGGCGAAUCCUUUGUUUCAGGACUCUCCUCCAUCGAUCAAAGAGGUAUCAACAACACUCAUAGCAUUUUUUUUUUCAAUUUCUGCUUCAAUCUUGUAAUCUUGUAUGUACCACUUUAUAUAUGUAUCGCAUGGUGUAUGAUUAAUAUGCAACAUCUAAUAAAUUCUUAAAAAUGAUGAUGUCUUUUAGAAUUGGUAAUUUAUAAUAGAUUGCCUAUGGAUUAAAUUUCACGGUGGUACCCUCGGGGACAUCCGAUAUAUUUACAUGGUGAAGCAGGAAUGGUUUUUAUGUAAGAGCUAGAAGGGAAAUAGGAGCUAGAUGGGACAGGAUUAUUUUAGUCUCCAUCAAUAUCUGGGACAAAUUAAAAUUUUUUGUUAUAUGUUAUGUGAAGAUUAGUUGAGACUAUUGAUAUAUGAUGGUCUCAAAUCAUGUAAUAUUUUCUUGUAGCAAGGGUUGUCUUACAAACUAAAGUGCCAGAAUUAAGUCAUUA
Glycine soja is the source of this 1015-nucleotide long non-coding RNA. RefSeq lists it as uncharacterized. The record is from RefSeq and is a predicted model, not a curated record. Lineage: Eukaryota; Viridiplantae; Streptophyta; Magnoliopsida; Fabales; Fabaceae. The transcript is spliced from 2 exons.